This 466-nucleotide ribosomal RNA is filed under the name uncultured bacterium. Its description in RNAcentral is "partial 16S ribosomal RNA". It matches the Rfam family "Bacterial small subunit ribosomal RNA", at positions 28 to 507 of the family's 1533-position model. The record is from RNAcentral.
GACGAACGCUGGCGGCGUGCUUAACACAUGCAAGUCGAACGGAAAGGCCCUGCUUGCAGGGUACUCGAGUGGCGAACGGGUGAGUAACACGUGGGUGAUCUGCCCUGCACUUCGGGAUAAGCUUGGGAAACUGGGUCUAAUACCGGAUAGGAGCCAUCUUUAGUGUGGUGGUUGGAAAGUUUUUUCGGUGUAGGAUGAGCUCGCGGCCUAUCAGCUUGUUGGUGGGGUAAUGGCCUACCAAGGCGGCGACGGGUAGCCGGCCUGAGAGGGUGCACGGCCACAUUGGGACUGAGAUACGGCCCAGACUCCUACGGGAGGCAGCAGUGGGGAAUAUUGCACAAUGGGCGCAAGCCUGAUGCAGCGACGCCGCGUGGGGGAUGAAGGCCUUCGGGUUGUAAACUCCUUUCGCUAGGGACGAAGCUUUGUUGUGACGGUACCUAGAUAAGAAGCACCGGCUAACUACGUG